UGGCUCCCACGGGGCGCAGCAGUGAGGAAUAUUGGUCAAUGGGCGCGAGCCUGAACCAGCCAAGUCGCGUGAGGGAAGACGGUCCUAUGGAUUGUAAACCUCUUUUGUCGGGGAGCAAAAGACGCCACGUGUGGCGUUCCGAGAGUACCCGAAGAAAAAGCAUAGGCUAACUCCGUGCCAGCAGCCGCGGUAAUACGGAGGAUGCGAGCGUUAUCCGGAUUUAUUGGGUUUAAAGGGUGCGCAGGCGGAAGAUCAAGUCAGCGGUAAAAUUGAGAGGCUCAACCUCGUCGAG
This 292-nucleotide ribosomal RNA is filed under the name uncultured bacterium. RNAcentral describes it as "partial 16S ribosomal RNA". It matches the Rfam family "Bacterial small subunit ribosomal RNA", at positions 333 to 621 of the family's 1533-position model. The record is from RNAcentral.